RNA transcript from Lycium barbarum (goji berry), 2003 nucleotides. It is a transcript of the gene named F-box/kelch-repeat protein SKIP25-like, with no coding region annotated. The transcript has 4 exons. The record is from RefSeq and is a predicted model, not a curated record. NCBI's taxonomy places the organism in Eukaryota, Viridiplantae, Streptophyta, Magnoliopsida, Solanales, Solanaceae.
UUUUUUUUUUUGGGUUAUGAAAAGACAUAAAUGAUAAAACCUACUUCUAUCACACACAAAAAUAGAACAUGUAUCUUCAGUUCUCUCUUUAUUUUCCUUCCUUUUACAUCCACAAAUGAAUAACUCUAUCAUCACCACCACCACCGCCAUCAAACGUCAUAAAAUCCACCACCACCACGACCAUGACCAUGAUGAUCAUCAGUACUUGAUCCCUGGACUUCCCGAUCAUAUCGCUCAAAUUUGUUUGAAUCUCGUCAAUCCUUUUACGCUUUUUUCCACUUGCCAUUCAUGGCGUAAACUUAUCCACUCACCUUCUUUUCCUCCAUAUUUGUCUCUAUAUGCUUUGCUAUUACCUCCAAAAUCAUCAACAGAUGAAACAAAACAUUCAGCGUAUUUUAGCAAUUCAGUAGAAUUUGCCUGUUUCGAUCCAGUUUCAUCGAAAUGGCAGCAACUUCCUCCACCACCACCGGACCCGCCCCUUCGCCUCCUGGUUAAACACCCUUCAUUUAUUGCCAGAAAUCUUCCAAUUCAAUUGGUGAGCGUUUCUGGCAACUUAAUUCUCCUCGCAGCGACCGGGGACCAGUUUUCCCCGGCAAUUUCUCGCCCUCUGAUUUUCAACCCGAGGGCGAGAAAAUGGAGCUAUGGUCCCCGGCUCGCCGCGCCGCGCAGGUGGUGCGCGGCGGGCACGUUGGGGAAUGCGGUGUAUGUGGCAAGUGGAGUUGGGUCCCACUAUAACCCCGAGAUAGCUCGGUCAGUUGUGAAGUGGGACCUAGAUGAGAGUAAUAGAAACGGGGUUCACGAGCCCCGUUACUGUUACUGCAACCACACAUGUACACGUGGCAUAAAAAGUGGAUGGAAAUGGGAAGAAAUGAGUGGGUUAAAAGAUGGGAAGUUUAGCAGGGAAGCAAUUGAUGCUAUUGGAUGGAAAGGGAAAUUGUGUAUGGUCAAUGUGAAAGGUGAUGCAGCUAAAGAAGGGAUAAUAUAUAAUGUGGGAAAUGACACGUGGCAAGAGAUGCCGGAGGGUAUGCUAGUGGGGUGGAGGGGUCCCGCGGUCGCGAUGGCGGAGGAGACAAUUUAUAUGGUGGAUGAAUCUAAAGGGGCAUUGAGGAGAUAUGAUGAAGAGAGGGAUGUUUGGGUGGAAAUAGUUGAAAAUGAAAUGCUUAAAGGUGCGGAACACGUAGCGGCGGGUGGUGGUAGAGUGUGCGUGGUUGGCGGUGGCGGUGGGAUAGCGGUGGUGGAUGUGGUGGCAGAUCCGCCAAGGUUGGUGGUGGUUGAAACUCCGGUAGGGGUUCAAGUUUUGAAUAUACAUAUUUUGCCUAGGAUGAGUCAAUUGGCUGAUUUUGAGUCUACAGAACAAGGUGUUCCAACCAAUUGAAGGUGGUUGACAACGUGGAAUUGAUCAUUGGAGGCAGCAAGGACGUUUAUAAUUAAAUUCACUAAUUUCAGCAAAUUAAGGAGCUAAGUUGUUAAGGUUGAGACACUUCGGGCAGCGUAUACGUAUUGUGUUACGGAUAAGCGUUAAAGGUACAGAUACUCGAUUUGGUGAUCCUCCAGCUUAGGGUUUCCACUCAGCUGUCUUGGCGAGCUCCGUUGUUCCGGAGCCUAGACUUUUGGUACGAAUCUUUUAAUGUAUAUACAUGUUCAUCCAGGGGUACGGCGGGGCCCUAUCCCAUCAUAUGUCACUGUUGAUACUCUUAGAGGUCUGUAGACAUAUGUGUGGGUUGUGUAUAAAUUUGUUCAGCUGUGUCUAUACGAUGUGCUAUGGAUAUGCUCAUAUGUAUUGGCAGCCUUUUUGGCUUGCAUAUCAUGUUGAUAUAUUGUGGCAGCCUUGUCGGCUUGCGUAUCAUGUUGAUAUAUUGUGGCAGCCUUGUUUGCUUGCGUAUCAUAUUAUGCUCUGAUCAGUUAUGACUCCCCAGGAGACCGGUUAUUUGGAUAUAUGUAUAUAUGAUCACGUUAUGGACCUUUGGAGUCCUUUUGCAAGUUCUAUAUUUAUUUUAGCUUCA